AAUAGAUACCCAGGUAGUCCACGCCGUAAACGAUGAGUGCUAAGUGUUAGGGGGUUUCCGCCCCGUUAGUGCUGCAGCUAACGCAUUAAGCACUCCGCCUGGGGAGUACGGUCGCAAGACUGAAACUCAAAGGAAUUGACGGGGGGCCCGCACAAGCGGUGGAGCAUGUGGUUUAAUUCGAAGCAACGCGAAGAACCUUACCAGGUCUUGACAUCCCAUUGACCACUAUGGAGACAUAGUUUUCCCUUCGGGGACAACGGUGACAGGUGGUGCAUGGUUGUCGUCAGCUCGUGUCGUGAGAUGUUGGGUUAAGUCCCGCAACGAGCGCAACCCUUGUUCUUAGUUGCCAUCAUUUAGUUGGGCACUCUAAGGAGACUGCCGGUGACAAACCGGAGGAAGGUGGGGAUGACGUCAAAUCAUCAUGCCCCUUAUGACCUGGGCUACACACGUGCUACAAUGGACGGUACAAACGGUUGCCAACCCGGCAGGGGGGAGCUAAUCCGGAUAAAACCGUUCUCAGUUCGAAUUGUAGGCUGCAACUCGCCUACAUGAACG
Molecule: ribosomal RNA, 555 nt
Filed under: uncultured bacterium
Lineage: Bacteria
Description: bacterial SSU rRNA
Rfam family: Bacterial small subunit ribosomal RNA
Source: RNAcentral